Molecule: long non-coding RNA, 1429 nt
Organism: Onychostoma macrolepis
Lineage: Eukaryota; Metazoa; Chordata; Actinopteri; Cypriniformes; Cyprinidae
Exons: 3
Source: RefSeq, a predicted model, not a curated record
UUUUUCUUUUAUGCCAAAAAAUCAUUAGGAUAUUAAGUAAAGAUCAUGUUCCAUGAAGAUAUUUUGUAAAUUUCUUACCGUGAAUGUAUCAAAACUUAAUUUUUGAUUAGUAAUAUGCAUUGCUAAGAACUUCAUUUGGACAACUUUAAAGGCGUUUUUCUCAAUAUUUUGAUUUUUUUUGCACCCUCAGAUUCCAGGGGCCUCAUUUAUAAAAUGUUGGGCAGAAACCAUCCUAAAUUUGAUCUUACGAUCAUUUCUCAAAUAUGCUUAAGUUUGAUUCAUAGAAUGAACGUACGAACAGAAAACGUGAGUAUGCGUCUAUUUCAGAUGUGAAAUCCAUAAAUCGCAAAUGAUCUUCAACUUGCGCGCAAUUGAAUGGUUUCAGCUCUCUGCCUUGUAAACGACUUCUAACUAAUAUCAUUAACAUAUAAAAUAUUACCAAUCAUCAUAAUUUAGAACAGCGAGCUGCAAGAACAGCUUACAUUUAAAAAACCUGCAAUACUCCGACAAUAAAAAGUGCGUACGUCUGCUCAGACCCUGACGUGACGCUAAGCACUUUUCCACGUCAAAGACCGUCUUUAUAAAUAUGAGCGCUGGCGUGGAUUUAAGCGUACGCACACUCUACGAUCAAAUCUGAGCGUAAGCACGCUUUAUAAAUGAGGCCCCAGAUUUUCAAAUAGUUGUAUCUCGACCAAAUAUUGUCAGAUCCUAACAAUUAUUUAUUCAGCUUUCAGAUGAUGUAUAAAUCUCAAUUAUAAAUCUAAAUCUGGUUUUGUCGUCCAGGGUCACAUUUACACAAUUUAUAUAGGCUACUCAACUAAUAGCCAACUUUAUUGGGCAAUUACAGAUCUUAUGCCCCAUGAAGUGCACAGCCAUCUUUAGAAUUUUGUAUUUGAAUUUCCGAUUUUGUGUUGCUCUAUAGCGUCACUGUUAAAGCUGGUGAAGUGGAUUUACUUAUUGUAGAGUUAACAAAAGUAACAAUGUGCAUUUUAAUGUUGGAAGCUGAUGUCUUAACAAAUGUCAGUAGACCAGGAAGAUUUUAAAACGAGCAGUUCAGAAAUUCGUACGACCGUAGCUGUGGAAAACAAGACCGAAAUCAGUAACGAUCAACUCAUCCGCAGACUACUCAUCAGUUCAUGCUGCCCAGCAGGUAUCAGCGAGGCCCGGGCGCCCAUAUUCCCCCAUGACAAAACAGCCGUGCCCGCUGCUGAUUCAGCUGCUCAGCGAGAGCAGACACAGAUCAUCCCUGACAGCACAAGCACACCUCACCUUACUGAACACGCUUCUUUCCAUGGCGACUCCAAUGGACCGUCCCAUGAUGCACGUUGCCCUUCGGAUAUGGCAGGCGCUGGCGUACACAAUCCCGUCGUUCCCGCACAGGUACUGAUCCGGUGAGGUCACCUCAGGGCAAAGCCGGUUGCAGGUCACG